Molecule: ribosomal RNA, 253 nt
Filed under: uncultured bacterium
Lineage: Bacteria
Description: partial 16S ribosomal RNA
Rfam family: Bacterial small subunit ribosomal RNA
Source: RNAcentral
UACGUAGGGUGCAAGCGUUAUUCGGAAUUAUUGGGCGUGAAGCGCAUGCAGGCGGUUUGGUAAGUCUAAUGUGAAAUCCCCGGACUCAAUUCGGGAAGUGCAUCGGAUACUGCCAGGCUAGAGUGCAGGAGGGGUGAGCGGAAUUCCUGGUGUAGAGGUGAAAUUCGUAGAUAUCAGGAGGAACAACAGAGGCGAAGGCGGCUCACUGGACUGUAACUGACGCUCAGAUGCGAAAGCGUGGGGAGCAAACAGG